GUCGAACGGAGUUGUUAUUCAGAAGUUCUUCGGGAUGGAAGGAUAAGAACUUAGUGGCGGACGGGUGAGUAACGCGUGGGUAACCUGCCCUUUUGUGGGGAACAACUUCGAGAAAUCGGAGCUAAUACCGCAUAAUAAUAGAGGAUCGCAUGAUUCUUUAAGGAAAGAUGGCCUCUGAAGAUGCUAUCGCAAAAGGAUGGACCCGCGUCUGAUUAGCUAGUUGGAAGGGUAACGGCCUACCAAGGCAACGAUCAGUAGCCGGCCUGAGAGGGUGAACGGCCACAUUGGGACUGAGACACGGCCCAAACUCCUACGGGAGGCAGCAGUGGGGAAUCUUCCGCAAUGGGCGAAAGCCUGACGGAGCAAUGCCGCGUGAGUGAAGAAGGCCUUCGGGUUGUAAAACUCUGUCCUUAUCGAAGAGAGGUAGGUAUGUGAAUAAUGUACCUAUAGGACGGUAGAUAAGGAGGAAGCCCCGGCUAACUACGUGCCAGCAGCCGCGGUAAUACGUAGGGGGCGAGCGUUGUCCGGAAUCACUGGGCGUAAAGGGCGCGUAGGCGGUUUAAUAAGUCAGUGGUGAAAACUGAGGGCUCAACCCUCAGCCUGCCACUGAUACUGUUAGACUUGAGUAUGGAAGAGGAGAAUGGAAUUCCUAGUGUAGCGGUGAAAUGCGUAGAUAUUAGGAGGAACACCAGUGGCGAAGGCGAUUCUCUGGGCCAAGACUGACGCUGAGGCGCGAAAGCGUGGGGAGCAAACAGGAUUAGAUACCCUGGUAGUCCACGCCGUANACGAUGGAUACUAGGUGUUAGUAGUUNCGAUGCUACUAGU
RNAcentral lists this ribosomal RNA (825 nucleotides) under uncultured bacterium. RNAcentral describes it as "bacterial SSU rRNA". It matches the Rfam family "Bacterial small subunit ribosomal RNA", at positions 61 to 844 of the family's 1533-position model. The record is from RNAcentral.